This 95-nucleotide transfer RNA is filed under the name Streptomyces antimycoticus. Its description in RNAcentral is "tRNA-Pro". The record is from RNAcentral. Lineage: Bacteria; Bacillati; Actinomycetota; Actinomycetes; Kitasatosporales; Streptomycetaceae.
GGUGAUGGUGGGCGGACGUUCGCUUCGCUCCCCUUGGCGCGGAGUCAGCCGGAUGUCGACGUCCGUGGUGCCGGUGCGGGGCCGGGCCACCGUCA